CUACGGGUGGCUCCAGUGGGGAAUAUUGGGCAAUGGGCGCAAGCCUGACCCAGCAACGCCGCGUGAGGGAAGAAGGUUUUCGGAUUGUAAACCUCUGUCCUUGGGGACGAAGAAGUGACGGUACCCAAGGAGGAAGCUCCGGCUAACUACGUGCCAGCAGCCGCGGUAAUACGUAGGGAGCAAGCGUUGUCCGGAAUUACUGGGCGUAAAGGGUGCGUAGGCGGCAUAUUAAGUCAGGUGUGAAAUACUCGGGCUCAACCCGGGGGCUGCAUUUGAAACUGAUAUGCUUGAGUGUGAGAGAGGAAAGUGGAAUUCCUAGUGUAGCGGUGGAAUGCGUAGAUAUUAGGAGGAACACCAGUGGCGAAGGCGACUUUCUGGCUCAUAACUGACGCUGAGGCACGAAAGCGUGGGGAGCAAACAGGAUUAGAUACCCUCGUAGUC
RNAcentral lists this ribosomal RNA (441 nucleotides) under uncultured bacterium. Its description in RNAcentral is "partial 16S ribosomal RNA". It matches the Rfam family "Bacterial small subunit ribosomal RNA", at positions 339 to 795 of the family's 1533-position model. The record is from RNAcentral.